GGACUGAGUUAUGGGCUUACGGCCGAUGUGCGUACAUACAUCUCCCAUCGAGCCCAUGUCCAUGAUGUUUUUGUGUUGGGAGUGACUAAUGAACAGGCGACUGAUUUUAAAUUGGUGUCAGGUCGUUUUUUAUUCCACUCAAUGAUUGACACCUGUCUAAGUAUAUACUCUGUCUAGAAACUCAUUAGUACAGAAAAACGUCUGUUUCCUUUCCUGCUUCAGGUCGAAAAUCUGCCGAAGCCUCUUGGGCUCCUUUUAGUUUACGUAAAAGGAACCUGCCCCUGAAACGGGCCUCCUAGCAGACCCGUUAAUGCAAAAACGUGAAGGUUGACUAACAGAAGGAACCCACACUGUCCACCCCCACCACCCCUCUCUCUCACCCGUCUAGGGGGCUGCGUUGGGUAACAACACACUGCCCUCCCUUCCCUAAAAUUUUCAUUUAUAUAUACAUGCUGCAUUUAUGUGAUGAUCACCUUACUUGUGAAUCAUCUAUACAUAAAGAAAAUGUACUAUAGUUAGAUAAGGCUUGUGUCCCUGUUGUUCUACUUGGCAGAGAAGAACUCAAUAAAAACAUGAUCACCUUCCUGCAUAAAAAACUGAUAAUCGAUUAAUCACUGAAUAUACAAACACUUAACAUAGAGUGAAGAAACUAACACUAAAACUGUGCAAUCAUGAGGAAAAUGAAAACUAGAACUAAUAUACUGAUAAACACUAGUGUGGGAACUUGCUGAGUUAAUCAUGAACAAACUAAACAAAGAGGCAAAAACUGGACACUCGGGAUAAAACUGAGGACAUAUAUACUGAAACCUGAGGAAAUAUAUGGAAGAAAACUGAGGACAAAUACUGAAACCUGGAUAAGACCUUAAAUGACACUGAACCUAAAAUACAGAAAUCUAAAACUGAAAUAACUAAGGAUCAAGAACUAUAUAUACUGAAAUAACAACAAGCAACACCACACUGAAAUUGUACUCAAGAAUGCACACUGAAUCUGAAACAGAUGAAUAAUAGAACGAAAAAAUAAUACUGACGAACACACACUGAAUAUGACUUGAAGAACUUGAUUACUGAAUCCGAAGCAGAAAACUGAUGGAAAAUAGAGGACUAAUAGAAAGAAUACCAAGAAGACUGAGAAGAAUACCAAUAGGACUAAGGAAUAAAGAUAACUAAUGACUGAUAACUAAGAAAGAAGAAGCAUAGACUUAAGAGUGACAGAAUGUAAGACAAGGUGAAACACAUAACUAAAAGACAAAAUAACACUGAAUAUGACUAAAGAUAAACUAAAGAACUAAGACUGGAUAAGACAGAAGAUCAUAGAACAAGACUAAAAUAAUUAUGACUGAAAUACAAAUUGACUCAAUGUGACAUAUGACUAAAAAGAGAUUAAUGAUAGAAUUGGAUUUUAUACUUCUUCGUCACAUAUUUGUUCUUGAGUUUCUAUACUGUAUCUGAAAAAGAGACUGGAUUUUACAGGUAAACAGCUACGUGAAUGAGGAUAUGCAUGAUAUGUGCAUUGGAAGCCAAGAAGCUCUGUUCAUGCAGGUCGAUGGAGGAAGGAAAAAAAUUCUUCGUAUUUUUUACGCCUUACAACUAUUCAUUCAGUUUCAGAGGUGGCAGAAAAAGAAAAAAUUACAGACGACUGAAUAUGAAAUUUGACGCUGCCAAGGGAUAUUUUAAGCUAACAAUCAUCAGGGGGAGAAAAUAUUUUGCAUUCCAAGGACAAGUCUGCUGUUCCUGCAAACUCAUCGAUGCACAGGACAAAAAGACGAGCAAGUUAUUCGUUCAGGUUCAGAUAACCAAACAGACUUGCAUCCUGAAUUACAAGAUUUUUUUUCAAAAAAGACAUGUGUAUAAGAAAGAAAACAUCGAUCCAAAAGCACAUGUAUGAGCACAGAUAACUAGACUUCCCAUUUCUCACUUAUGCAGAUUAAAAGAGGGUAACUAGAACAAAUUCCAUUGUGUACACUAGUUUCAGAACAAUCUACUGCCUGGUUAGUUGGUGCAUAACACUACAUUCAGAUGAUCCCCAAGCCAUUCUCUACGUAAUCACUCAACUCUCUGAAAACAGAUCGCAUCCAUUACUAACUAAAAGCCAUCAAAAUCAUGCUGACAACAAAAGUGGCACCCUACAAUUUCUCCACAUUAGUACUCCUGCAGAAGAAAAAAACGCAUACAUUCAGUUACCUAUCUCUGACCAUCUACAAACAUUCCUUGGGCUUCUAAAAUAUCUUACAGGGUAACACACUAUAUGUGAAAAAUUCAAUCAGACUGAAAAUGAGGUCUACAUCCAGAACAAAAGAGUACUACAUUAAGACAAAGUUGAGGCCUACUUAGUGAACGAAAAUUGGGGGACACACACAUACAGGUGCCUGCAGCAAAUUCAGGGGCGUUCUAUGAUGAACCACUCAAAAAACUCCUCCAGGAUUGAAGAGAUUCAUGGGCAUUUCUGUUCUACCGCACACCUUCCUGGCCGAAACUACAAACAACUAAACCACCCCCUGCUAUGGAGGUCUGUGACCGGUGACAAACACGACGAACUGAAAUUCAGAGGGCAUAGACAUAUAGAACAGAAAAAGGGCAGCGGGAAGGAGCGUGAUACCUUGCGCCCCGAUGGCGCCGACGACUGCCGUCGCACCCACCGACUGAAGCUUGCUGGUGGCGGACAUGGCGGCGCAGCUCCGCCGAGCUCCUCUCCAAACCGACAUCUGACCUGCGUGCAGCCGGCACUGUGGAGCAUGCCUCCUGCUUACAAGCUCUCCUCGAGGAGGACUCGGCGCACGCCAUCUCUGUUGCUAAACACCGGCGAGGACGCCCCCGCCUCCCCUCCGCCGUCUCCG
Molecule: long non-coding RNA, 2834 nt
Filed under: Triticum aestivum (bread wheat)
Lineage: Eukaryota; Viridiplantae; Streptophyta; Magnoliopsida; Poales; Poaceae
Description: long non-coding RNA (TAES_LNC010954)
Source: RNAcentral